Molecule: ribosomal RNA, 434 nt
Filed under: uncultured Glomus
Lineage: Eukaryota; Fungi; Glomeromycota; Glomeromycetes; Glomerales; Glomeraceae
Description: SSU rRNA
Rfam family: Eukaryotic small subunit ribosomal RNA
Source: RNAcentral
AGCAGCCGCGGUAAUUCCAGCUCCAAUAGCGUAUAUUAAAGUUGUUGCAGUUAAAAAGCUCGUAGUUGAAUUUCGGGAUCAAUUUAUUGGUCGUGCUAUCGUACGUACUGGUAUUAUUGAUUCCUACCUUCUGACGAACCAUGAUGUCAUUAAUUUGGUGUCAUGGGGAAUCAGGACUGUUACUUUGAAAAAAUUAGAGUGUUUAAAGCAGGCUCACGCUUGAAUACAUUAGCAUGGAAUAACGAAAUAGGACGUUUGAUUCUAUUUUGUUGGUUUCUAGGAUCGACGUAAUGAUUAAUAGGGAUAGUUGGGGCAUUAGUAUUCAAUUGUCAGAGGUGAAAUUCUUGGAUUUAUUGAAGACUAACUACUGCGAAAGCAUUUGCCAAGGAUGUUUCAUUAAUCAAGAACGAAAGUUAGGGAUACGAAGACGAUCA